This 773-nucleotide ribosomal RNA is filed under the name Paracoccus sp. Shira 15-11-01. Its description in RNAcentral is "bacterial SSU rRNA". It matches the Rfam family "Bacterial small subunit ribosomal RNA", at positions 55 to 860 of the family's 1533-position model. The record is from RNAcentral. Lineage: Bacteria; Pseudomonadati; Pseudomonadota; Alphaproteobacteria; Rhodobacterales; Paracoccaceae.
AUGCAAGUCGAGCGAGAUCUUCGGAUCUAGCGGCGGACGGGUGAGUAACGCGUGGGAACGUGCCCUUUGCUACGGAAUAGCCCCGGGAAACUGGGAGUAAUACCGUAUGUGCCCUUGGACCUUGGCGGUUCUUGGGGAAAGAUUUAUCGGCAAAGGAUCGGCCCGCGUUGGAUUAGGUAGUUGGUGAGGUAACGGCUCACCAAGCCGACGAUCCAUAGCUGGUUUGAGAGGAUGAUCAGCCACACUGGGACUGAGACACGGCCCAGACUCCUACGGGAGGCAGCAGUGGGGAAUCUUAGACAAUGGGGGCAACCCUGAUCUAGCCAUGCCGCGUGGGUGAUGAAAGCCUUAGGGUUGUAAAGCUCUUUCAGCUGGGAAGAUAAUGACGGUUCCAGCAGAAGAAGCCCCGGCUAACUCCGUGCCAGCAGCCGCGGUAAUACGGAGGGGGCUAGCGUUGUUCGGAAUUACUGGGCGUAAAGCGCACGUAGGCGGACUGGAAAGUCAGAGGUGAAAUCCCAGGGCUCAACCUUGGAACUGCCUUUGAAACUAUCAGUCUGGAGUUCGAGAGAGGUGAGUGGAAUUCCGAGUGUAGAGGUGAAAUUCGUAGAUAUUCGGAGGAACACCAGUGGCGAAGGCGGCUCACUGGCUCGAUACUGACGCUGAGGUGCGAAAGCGUGGGGAGCAAACGGGAUUAGAUACCCUGGUAUUCCACGCCGUAAACGAUGAAUGCCAGUCGUCGGGUUGCAUGCAAUUCGGUGAGACACCUAACGGAA